This 506-nucleotide ribosomal RNA is filed under the name uncultured bacterium. RNAcentral's name for it is "partial 16S ribosomal RNA". It matches the Rfam family "Bacterial small subunit ribosomal RNA", at positions 29 to 523 of the family's 1533-position model. The record is from RNAcentral.
AGUGAACGCUGGCGGUAGGCCUAACACAUGCAAGUCGAACGGCAGCACAGAGGAGCUUGCUCCUUGGGUGGCGAGUGGCGGACGGGUGAGGAAUACAUCGGAAUCUACUCUGUCGUGGGGGAUAACGUAGGGAAACUUACGCUAAUACCGCAUACGACCUACGGGUGAAAGCAGGGGAUCUUCGGACUUGGCGCGAUUAAAUGAGCCGAUGUCGGGUUAGCUAGUUGGCGGGGUAAAGGCCCACCAAGGCGACGAUCCGUAGCUGGUCUGAGAGGAUGAUCAGCCACACUGGAACUGAGACACGGUCCAGACUCCUACGGGAGGCAGCAGUGGGGAAUAUUGGACAAUGGGCGCAAGCCUGAUCCAGCCAUACCGCGUGGGUGAAGAAGGCCUUCGGGUUGUAAAGCCCUUUUGUUGGGAAAGAAAUCCAUCUGGUUAAUACCCGGGUGGGAUGACGGUACCCAAAGAAUAAGCACCGGCUAACUACGUGCCAGCCGCCGCCGUAA